AUGGACAGCUCAGCAUUUGAAAUGUGUGAAGACGCAACACAGAAUAGUUUGUCUAUGGGGACGAUAAACACUAUCUCUAGAAUGGAAAAGAAGAGGCUGUGGUCACGGGUGAGCAUUUUCCUGGUGUGUCUUUUGGCCUGCAUCAUUAUCACAGCAGUAGGAGUGCUGAUGCUGUCCUUGGUCUAUAUUAGCAACUCAUGCAGACAUUCAUUUCAAACCUGAAGCCUGGCCUCUGCAAACAAUGAUUCCCAUAGUAUCAAAAGCUAUUGAUCCAGAAUUUCAGUUUCUUAAUCACUUACCUAAAUCUAAAGUGUUUGACUUCCUUGGUGGUACAAUCCAGUGGGCCCGGUACAGGAACAAUGUCAAAGACUAUCUCAGCAAUGAAGAGGCCUUUGGCACCAGCUUGAACAGUCAGAGAUCACAAAUGACUCUGGGGACCCUUAGGAUAAAAAGCAAUGGCCUCCAGGCCCUUCACUGGCACUUCAACGCCAAUGAACAUGACUGUCUUGCUCAGGGAACAGCAUAGAUUGGGGUGGUUGAUGAUGAUGGUGAAGUAGUUACACGUACAGUGUUAUAGCUGGCCAAGUAAUCUUCUUCCCUAAAAAUAUACUAUACUGGAUAAAGAAUGUGGGGAAUGAAGAUUUUUUCUUGCUUUUCUUUUCCACACAUGAUGGACUUCAGACUUUGAAUGUUGAUGAUGUAUUUUUUUCUGUAACUGAGACAUUGCUUCCAGGUAACUUAAGGUAUCAAAAUGCCCUCACCUUUAGUGCACUCAGAAUUUGUAACAGAAUUAUAAUGGAUUACGACAGCCACAUUUUCAUUUUAAUGCAAAUGAAAUGCACUAUGUGUUAAGUGGAUGUGGAAAGGUAAUUUAUCUCUAAACGUGGAGAUUAUUGGCACUCAGGGUACCAUAGAAUUCAACAUUCACACUGGAGAUGAGAUAUUUUCACUAUUGGAACCCAGCAUUACAUUAAGAGCACAUGUAAUUAGGAUUUGCUUUUCAUUCUUGCCUUCAGCUGCAAACCCUUGACAUGGACGAUUAUAUCUAGGCUACAGGCAGACUGCAUCUUGGCCCAGCUUUCUUCAGGGAGCAAAGUGAAUUUAACAAGAGCCCCCAGUUUAAGGAGCACCAGGUAAUCAACCUGCCUUAG
This 1151-nucleotide small RNA is filed under the name Pongo abelii (Sumatran orangutan). RNAcentral describes it as "unitary pseudogene". Lineage: Eukaryota; Metazoa; Chordata; Mammalia; Primates; Hominidae. The record is from RNAcentral.